ACCACACGAACGUUAUUCGGAAUCACUGGGCUUAAAGGGUGCGUAGGCGGCGCGGUAAGUCGGGUGUGAAAUCUUGGAGCUUAACUCCGAAACUGCAUUCGAUACUGCCGUGCUUGAGGACUGGAGAGGAGACUGGAAUUUACGGUGUAGCGGUGAAAUGCGUAGAUAUCGUAAGGAAGACCAGUGGCGAAGGCGGGUCUCUGGACAGUUCCUGACGCUGAGGCACGAAGGUCAGGGGAGCAAACGGG
Molecule: ribosomal RNA, 248 nt
Filed under: uncultured bacterium
Lineage: Bacteria
Description: partial 16S ribosomal RNA
Rfam family: Bacterial small subunit ribosomal RNA
Source: RNAcentral